AAUCUCUGAAGUAAGGGGAAAAUUCCUACAAGCAAUAACUCUCUGAAUGUACUUCUUGCACACAAUUGGUGCUUUUAUAAAAGAAAGGGCAACAGGGCCGUUGGUUCAAAAAUCGAAGAAGCACCACUCUCUGGAUUCCGAAGAGGCACCACUUUCCACACGUAACAUCAGCUUCUCGGGUACCAUAGAUAACUUUGCCAAAGAUCUCUGACAAAGUUUAGACACAUAAAUUUUGAAGGUCCAGAUACCCUACUAUUACCCACAAGGGUAAAGGUACAGCACCACUGCUUGAUAACUGGAAAGUCCCUGUGUGUGUCAACCUCCGUGCUCCGUGGCAAGGCAGACUGGCAAAAAUGCCCAACCUUUACUCACAU
Molecule: long non-coding RNA, 374 nt
Filed under: Malus domestica (apple)
Lineage: Eukaryota; Viridiplantae; Streptophyta; Magnoliopsida; Rosales; Rosaceae
Description: long non-coding RNA (MDOM_LNC004201)
Source: RNAcentral